Molecule: non-coding RNA, 395 nt
Organism: Pogona vitticeps (central bearded dragon)
Lineage: Eukaryota; Metazoa; Chordata; Lepidosauria; Squamata; Agamidae
Source: RefSeq, a predicted model, not a curated record
UUUGUGCAGAGCUAGCUUGUGCAAAUUAUGGAGAAACUGACAACCAAAAAAUGCAUUCCAUGUGCCAGCCUUGCCUGGACACAAGAUAUCUCUCAGUAUUUGAAUAUUCGUCAGUGAGAUGUCUGGUGCAUACAAGAUGGCCUAAAUUGGUGAGAAGGAAGGAUUCAGUCUGCAAAGACCCCAGCCAGCAGUGCCCAUGCUCGCUGGAAGGUUUUUGAGAGCUGCCGUCCAUAGAGUUUUUCUAGGUAGAAUGUACUCAGAAGUGGCUUACCAUUCUCUUCUUCAGUGGGCAUCGUGGGACUACGGCAGGCACCAGGAAUAGUGUGUCAUCUCCGUAUCUUAAAUUAUUGUUGUUGUUUCCACCAGUUUCAUCCUUCAUCUGAAUCUAAUCCAGC